This 776-nucleotide ribosomal RNA is filed under the name uncultured Neocallimastigales. RNAcentral describes it as "partial large subunit ribosomal RNA". It matches the Rfam family "Eukaryotic large subunit ribosomal RNA", at positions 23 to 634 of the family's 3401-position model. Lineage: Eukaryota; Fungi; Neocallimastigomycota; Neocallimastigomycetes; Neocallimastigales. The record is from RNAcentral.
AGAGAGAGACAUGCGCGCAUAUCAAUAAGCGGAGGAAAAGAAACUAACAAGGAUUCCCUUAGUAACGGCGAGUGAAGCGGGAAGAGCUCAAAUUUGAAAUCUUCAAGGUUGUACCUUGACGAAUUGUAGUUUAAAGAAGUGUUUUCUGCUGAAGUUUUGGUAAAAGUUCUUUGGAAUAGGACAUCAUAGAGGGUGAGAAUCCCGUAUUUGACCAUUAUUUUCAGCUUUGUGAUACACUUUCGAAGAGUCGGAUUGUUUGGGAAUGCAGUCCAAAAUGGGUGGUAAAUUUCAUCUAAAGCUAAAUAUUGGCGAGAGACCGAUAGCGAACAAGUACCGUGAGGGAAAGAUGAAAAGAACUUUGAAAAGAGAGUUAAACAGUACGUGAAAUUGUCAAAAGGGAAGCGUUUGACACCAGUGUUGAUUUUCUCGAAAAUCAAUUAAAAAUGGCUCGAUUUUGUAUUGCUUGAGACCUUAAAAGCUCACUGUACAUUUUUCGUGUCUUUUUUAAUGCACUUUUCGUUUAACAAGUCAACAUCAGUUUCUUUUGUCGUAAAAGGGUCAUUGGAAGGUGGCUUUCUUUUCGGAGAAAGUGUUUAUAGCCUUUGGCCUCUGCAAUCGGAGAGACUGAGGUCUGCAGCGUAGACUCUUCGGGGUUAGAUACAUUUGUGCUAAGUUAUAGCUUUUUAUAGACAACUUGUUGACUAUAAUUAGUCUUGUAGCUUACUCGCUUAUGCUAUUUUACCUACGCUUAGGAUGUUGAGUCGUAGAGCACGCAG